GCGUUGUCCGGAAUUAUCGGGCGUAAAGCGCGCGCAGGCGGCCGCUUAAGUUUGGUGUUUAAGCCCGGGGCUCAACCCCGGUUCGCACUGAAAACUGGGUGGCUUGAGUGCAGGAGAGGAAAGCGGAAUUCCACGUGUAGCGGUGAAAUGCGUAGAGAUGUGGAGGAACACCAGUGGCGAAGGCGGCUUUCUGGACUGUAACUGACGCUGAGGCGCGAAAGCGUGG
This 226-nucleotide ribosomal RNA is filed under the name uncultured bacterium. RNAcentral describes it as "partial 16S ribosomal RNA". It matches the Rfam family "Bacterial small subunit ribosomal RNA", at positions 538 to 764 of the family's 1533-position model. The record is from RNAcentral.